Molecule: ribosomal RNA, 407 nt
Filed under: uncultured bacterium
Lineage: Bacteria
Description: partial 16S ribosomal RNA
Rfam family: Bacterial small subunit ribosomal RNA
Source: RNAcentral
GACGAACGCUGGCGGCGUGCCUAAUACAUGCAAGUAGAACGCAGUUGCGAACGGGUGAGUAACGCGUAGGUAACUGCCUCAUAGCGGGGGAUAACUAUUGGAAACGAUAGCUAAUACCGCAUCCUGUGAGAUGGACCUGCGUUGUAUUAGCUAGUUGGUGCGGUAAAGGCUCACCAAGGCGACGAUACAUAGCCGACCGGAGAGGGUGAUCAUCCUCUCUGGGACUGAGACACGGCCCAGACUCCUCCUCUCUCCCUCCCUAUCUCUUCUUCUUAAUUCUACAGAAGUCUGACCCUUCAACGCCGCGUGAGUGAAGAAUCUUUUCUAAUCCUCCAUCUAUGUUGUUAGAGAAGCGGUAACUAACCAGAAAGGGACGGCUAACUACGUGCCAGCAGCCGCGGUAAUAC